Molecule: ribosomal RNA, 253 nt
Filed under: uncultured bacterium
Lineage: Bacteria
Description: partial 16S ribosomal RNA
Rfam family: Bacterial small subunit ribosomal RNA
Source: RNAcentral
GACAGAGGAUGCAAGCGUUAUCCGGAAUGAUUGGGCGUAAAGCGUCUGUAGGUGGCUUUUUAAGUCCGCCGUCAAAUCCCAGGGCUCAACCCUGGACAGGCGGUGGAAACUACCAAGCUGGAGUACGGUAGGGGUAGAGGGAAUUUCCAGUGGAGCGGUGAAAUGUGUAGAUAUUGGAAAGACCACCGAUGGCGAAGGCACUCUACUGGGCCAUGACUGACACUGAGAGACGAAAGCUAGGGGAGCAAAUGGG